ACGGCGCUGCGGGGUUCGCCAGGUCUAAAUAUCCCUGGGGCCAAUAAAUACCUCUAGGGAGCUGUCCCUGCCGGGCCCGUGGGCUCGGUAUACGGCGCCCACCUGCAUCUGCAGGCCGCGGAGGAUCUUAAGACCAACGGCCCAGGUGGCCCGUC
This 155-nucleotide non-coding RNA is filed under the name Rhodobacterales bacterium. RNAcentral describes it as "6S RNA". It matches the Rfam family "6S / SsrS RNA". Rfam says of the family: E. coli 6S RNA was the first non coding RNA to be sequenced, but its function was unknown until recently. It consists of 184 nucleotides that fold into an extended hairpin structure with a large single-stranded internal bulge. The 6S RNA specifically associates with RNA polymerase holoenzyme containing the sigma70 specificity factor. Lineage: Bacteria; Pseudomonadati; Pseudomonadota; Alphaproteobacteria; Rhodobacterales. The record is from RNAcentral.